This 253-nucleotide ribosomal RNA is filed under the name uncultured bacterium. Its description in RNAcentral is "partial 16S ribosomal RNA". It matches the Rfam family "Bacterial small subunit ribosomal RNA", at positions 524 to 776 of the family's 1533-position model. The record is from RNAcentral.
UACAGAGGGUGCAAGCGUUAAUCGGAAUUACUGGGCGUAAAGCGUGCGCAGGCGGUUUGUUAAGUCCGCUGUGAAAUCCCCGAGCUCAACUUGGGAAUUGCAGUGGAUACUGGCAAGCUGGAGUAUGGUAGAGGAAGGUGGAAUUCCCGGUGUAGCAGUGAAAUGCGUAGAGAUCGGGAGGAACACCAGUGGCGAAGGCGGCCUUCUGGACCAAUACUGACGCUCAUGCACGAAAGCGUGGGGAGCAAACAGG